RNAcentral lists this ribosomal RNA (491 nucleotides) under Escherichia coli. RNAcentral's name for it is "partial 23S ribosomal RNA". It matches the Rfam family "Bacterial large subunit ribosomal RNA", at positions 419 to 912 of the family's 2925-position model. Lineage: Bacteria; Pseudomonadati; Pseudomonadota; Gammaproteobacteria; Enterobacterales; Enterobacteriaceae. The record is from RNAcentral.
GGGACACGUGGUAUCCUGUCUGAAUAUGGGGGGACCAUCCUCCAAGGCUAAAUACUCCUGACUGACCGAUAGUGAACCAGUACCGUGAGGGAAAGGCGAAAAGAACCCCGGCGAGGGGAGUGAAAAAGAACCUGAAACCGUGUACGUACAAGCAGUGGGAGCACGCUUAGGCGUGUGACUGCGUACCUUUUGUAUAAUGGGUCAGCGACUUAUAUUCUGUAGCAAGGUUAACCGAAUAGGGGAGCCGAAGGGAAACCGAGUCUUAACUGGGCGUUAAGUUGCAGGGUAUAGACCCGAAACCCGGUGAUCUAGCCAUGGGCAGGUUGAAGGUUGGGUAACACUAACUGGAGGACCGAACCGACUAAUGUUGAAAAAUUAGCGGAUGACUUGUGGCUGGGGGUGAAAGGCCAAUCAAACCGGGAGAUAGCUGGUUCUCCCCGAAAGCUAUUUAGGUAGCGCCUCGUGAAUUCAUCUCCGGGGGUAGAGCACUG